This 912-nucleotide ribosomal RNA is filed under the name Aspergillus carbonarius. RNAcentral describes it as "LSU rRNA". It matches the Rfam family "Eukaryotic large subunit ribosomal RNA", at positions 38 to 964 of the family's 3401-position model. The record is from RNAcentral. Lineage: Eukaryota; Fungi; Ascomycota; Eurotiomycetes; Eurotiales; Aspergillaceae.
GCAUAUCAAUAAGCGGAGGAAAAGAAACCAACCGGGAUUGCCUCAGAUAACGGCGAGUGAAGCGGCAAGAGCUCAAAUUUGAAAGCUGGCCCCUCCGGGGUCCGCGUUGUAAUUUGCAGAGGAUGCUUUGGGUGCGGCCCCCGUCUAAGUGCCCUGGAACGGGCCGUCAGAGAGGGUGAGAAUCCCGUCUUGGGCGGGGUGUCCGUGCCCGUGUAAAGCUCCUUCGACGAGUCGAGUUGUUUGGGAAUGCAGCUCUAAAUGGGUGGUAAAUUUCAUCUAAAGCUAAAUACUGGCCGGAGACCGAUAGCGCACAAGUAGAGUGAUCGAAAGAUGAAAAGCACUUUGAAAAGAGAGUUAAACAGCACGUGAAAUUGUUGAAAGGGAAGCGCUUGCGACCAGACUCGCCCUCGGGGUUCAGCCGGCACUCGUGCCGGUGUACUUCCCCGGGGGCGGGCCAGCGUCAGCUUGGGCGGCCGGUCAAAGGCCUCCGGAAUGUAGUGCCCCCCGGGGCACCUUAUAGCCGGAGGUGCAAUGCGGCCAGCCUGGGCUGAGGAACGCGCUUCGGCACGGACGCUGGCAUAAUGGUCGCAAACGACCCGUCUUGAAACACGGACCAAGGAGUCUAACAUCUACGCGAGUGUUCGGGUGUCAAACCCGUACGCGCAGUGAAAGCAAACGGAGGUGGGAGCCCCCUCGCGGGGCGCACCAUCGACCGAUCCUGAUGUCUUCGGAUGGAUUUGAGUAAGAGCGUAAAUGUGGGGACCCGAAAGAUGGUGAACUAUGCCUGAAUAGGGCGAAGCCAGAGGAAACUCUGGUGGAGGCUCGCAGCGGUUCUGACGUGCAAAUCGAUCGUCAAAUUUGGGUAUAGGGGCGAAAGACUAAUCGAACCAUCUAGUAGCUGGUUCCUGCCGA